GAGGGUCUAGCUCUGUGGUAGAGUGUGUGCUUAGCAUGCAUGAGGUCCUGGGUUCAAUCCCCUGUACCUCCA
RNAcentral lists this transfer RNA (72 nucleotides) under Camelus bactrianus (Bactrian camel). It matches the Rfam family "tRNA". Rfam says of the family: Transfer RNA (tRNA) molecules are approximately 80 nucleotides in length. Their secondary structure includes four short double-helical elements and three loops (D, anti-codon, and T loops). Lineage: Eukaryota; Metazoa; Chordata; Mammalia; Artiodactyla; Camelidae. The record is from Rfam by way of RNAcentral. RNAcentral also lists the same sequence under 2 other names.